CAUCGCACAAUUCGGUCCAUAGUAAUGAAGUCAUUUCAUGUAUAUUCCAUUUUCUUGGUAAGAAGAUAAGAGUCAGAAUUUUACCUAGAAGUGCUGCUACUAUAGCUGUUCACUAAAUGAUGCCUCAGGAACCAAACACUACAGUAAAAAAAGAGGCACGGAAAACGAGCGUCUCUGUAUGGAGCUGUUGAUGUUGCCAAGACACAAAAAUUGAAUAUAUGGUCAUGUUGUAAAGACCAGCCAACCAGUGGUGGUUGCAGGUGGUACGGGCGUACCAGUGCCUGCCUGGAGCACCGGGUACCGU
Molecule: non-coding RNA, 304 nt
Organism: Thamnophis sirtalis
Lineage: Eukaryota; Metazoa; Chordata; Lepidosauria; Squamata; Natricidae
Source: RefSeq, a predicted model, not a curated record